Molecule: ribosomal RNA, 392 nt
Filed under: uncultured bacterium
Lineage: Bacteria
Description: partial 16S ribosomal RNA
Rfam family: Bacterial small subunit ribosomal RNA
Source: RNAcentral
ACACGGAGGAGCCGAGCGCUAUCCGGAUUUAUUGGGUUUAAAGGGUGCGCAGGCGGCCAUUUAAGUCAGCGGUUAAAUCGUGGGGCUCAACCCCAUUCUGCCGUUGAAACUGGGUGGCUUGAUUGCGGUCGAGGUUGGCGGAAUUCGUUGUGUUGCGGUGAAAUGCAUAGAGAUGACGAAGAACACCGAUUGCGUAGGCAGCUGACCAGACCGCAAAUGACGCUCAUGCACGAAAGUGCGGGGAUCGAACAGGAUUAGAUACCCUGGUAGUCCGCACAGUAAACGAUGAAUACUUGUUUUCGGCGAUAUAAUGUCGGAGGCAAAGCGAAAGCGAUAAGUAUUCCACCUGGGGAGUACGCCGGCAACGGUGAAACUCAAAUGAAUUGGCGGGG